GACGAACGCUGGCGGCGUGCUUAACACAUGCAAGUCGAACGGAAAGGCCCUGCUUUUGUGGGGUGCUCGAGUGGCGAACGGGUGAGUAACACGUGAGUAACCUGCCCUUGACUUUGGGAUAACUUCAGGAAACUGGGGCUACUACCGGACAGCAGCUCCUGCUGCAUGGUGGGGGUUGGAUAGUUUCGGCGGUAGGGGAUGGACUCGCGGCUUAUCAGCUUGUUGGUGGGGUAGUGGCUUACCAAGGCUUUGACGGGUCGCCGGCCUGAGUGGGUGACCGGCGACAUGGGGACUAAGGGACGGCCCAGACUCCUACGGGAGACAGCGGUGGGGAGUAUGGCACAGUGGGCGGGAGUCUGAGGCAGCAACGCCGCGGGCGGGAUGACCGCCUUCGGGGAGUGAACCGCUUUCGCCUGAGACGAAGCGGGAGUGACGGUAAUGGGAGAAGAAGCACCGGCUAACUACGUG
This 468-nucleotide ribosomal RNA is filed under the name uncultured bacterium. Its description in RNAcentral is "partial 16S ribosomal RNA". It matches the Rfam family "Bacterial small subunit ribosomal RNA", at positions 28 to 507 of the family's 1533-position model. The record is from RNAcentral.